This 488-nucleotide ribosomal RNA is filed under the name uncultured bacterium. RNAcentral's name for it is "partial 16S ribosomal RNA". It matches the Rfam family "Bacterial small subunit ribosomal RNA", at positions 29 to 507 of the family's 1533-position model. The record is from RNAcentral.
ACGCACGCUGGCGGCGUGCUUCACACAUGCAAGUCGCACGGUGAAGGGACCAGCUUGCUGGUUCUGGAUGAGUGGCGAACGGGUGAGUAACACGUGAGUAACCUGCCCCCUUCUUCUGGAUAACCGCAUGAAAGUGUGGCUAAUACGGGAUAUUCUGGGUCUGUCGCAUGGCGGGCCCGGGAAAGAUAUUGCUUCGGUGGGGGAUGGGCUCGCGGCCUAUCAGCUUGUUGGUGGGGUGAUGGCCUACCAAGGCGGUGACGGGUAGCCGGCCUGAGAGGGUGGACGGUCACACUGGGACUGAGACACGGCCCAGACUCCUACGGGAGGCAGCAGUGGGGAAUAUUGCACAAUGGGCGCAAGCCUGAUGCAGCGACGCCGCGUGAGGGAUGGAGGCCUUCGGGUUGUAAACCUCUUUCGCCAGUGAAGCAGGCCUGCUCCUUGUGGGUGGGUUGACGGUAGCUGGAUAAGAAGCGCCGGCUAACUACGUG